GCAAAAACUGUCGAUGCGUCUCGUAUAAUGUCGGGGAUAUGGCCCGAAAGUCUCUACCCAAAAACCUUGAAUUUUUGGACUACGAGUGAGCGUGGAUAGAAA
RNAcentral lists this non-coding RNA (102 nucleotides) under Paenibacillus xerothermodurans. RNAcentral describes it as "Bacillus xerothermodurans Guanine sequence". It matches the Rfam family "Purine riboswitch aptamer". From Rfam's summary of the family: Riboswitches are metabolite binding domains within certain messenger RNAs that serve as precision sensors for their corresponding targets. Allosteric rearrangement of mRNA structure is mediated by ligand binding, and this results in modulation of gene expression. The record is from Rfam by way of RNAcentral. Lineage: Bacteria; Bacillati; Bacillota; Bacilli; Caryophanales; Paenibacillaceae.